RNAcentral lists this ribosomal RNA (253 nucleotides) under uncultured bacterium. RNAcentral describes it as "partial 16S ribosomal RNA". It matches the Rfam family "Bacterial small subunit ribosomal RNA", at positions 524 to 776 of the family's 1533-position model. The record is from RNAcentral.
UACGUAGGGUGCGAGCGUUAAUCGGAAUUACUGGGCGUAAAGUGUGCGCAGGCGGUUUAGCAAGUCAAGUGUGAAAGCCCCGGGCUUAACCUGGGAACUGCGCUUGAAACUACGGAACUCGAGUAUGGCAGAGGAAGGUGGAAUUCCACGUGUAGCGGUGAAAUGCGUAGAGAUGUGGAGGAACACCGAUGGCGAAGGCAGCCUUCUGGGCCAAUACUGACGCUCAUGCACGAAAGCGUGGGGAGCAAACAGG